This 510-nucleotide small RNA is filed under the name Arabidopsis thaliana (thale cress). RNAcentral describes it as "ATSL271740". The record is from RNAcentral. Lineage: Eukaryota; Viridiplantae; Streptophyta; Magnoliopsida; Brassicales; Brassicaceae.
GUAUAACUACUAGAAUCGCAACCAGAUCUUAAAAGCCUAAGUAUUGUGUCCUUGUUAGAAGAUACAAAGACAAAGACUCGUACGGACUUCGGCUACACCAUCAAAGCUUUGAGAAGCAAGAAGAAGCUUGGUUAGUGUUUUGUAGUGAAAUAUGACUUGAUUUUAUGUUUAUGAUUGAGUAUAAGAACAUAAACCGUAACCGGAUCUUAAAAGCCUAAGUAGUGUUGCCUUGUUAAUAGAUACAAAGACAACGACGCAUACUGACUUCAGCUACACCAUCAAAGCUUUGAGAAGCAAGAAGAGGCUUGGUUAAUGUUUUGGAGUCAAAUAUGACUAGAUGUCAUGUGUAUGAGUGAGUAUAACAACUAGCACCGCAAACAUAUCUUAAAAGCCUAAGUAUUGUAUCCUUGUUGGAAGAUACAAAGACCAAGACUCAUACGGACUUCCGCUACACAAUCAAAGCUUCGAGAAUCAAGAAGAAGCUUGGUUAGUGUUUUGGAGUAGAGUAUG